GAAAAGACCUGUUUUGGAAAAGACCCAAAGCACCGGGACCAGCCAUGGCGACUCCCCCAGGGUGAGGCUUGACCAUUGCACUUGGGUCUAGCUGACCCCUGCCACUACCCCAAACUGGGGAUGAGACAUGUAAUUUAUAGUAGCUAGGGAUUGCGUUUGCGCUCUCCUCUC
Centruroides sculpturatus (bark scorpion) is the source of this 171-nucleotide small nuclear RNA. RefSeq annotates it as U1 spliceosomal RNA. NCBI's taxonomy places the organism in Eukaryota, Metazoa, Arthropoda, Arachnida, Scorpiones, Buthidae. The transcript has a single exon. The record is from RefSeq and is a predicted model, not a curated record.